Molecule: ribosomal RNA, 484 nt
Filed under: uncultured Clostridium sp.
Lineage: Bacteria; Bacillati; Bacillota; Clostridia; Eubacteriales; Clostridiaceae
Description: bacterial SSU rRNA
Rfam family: Bacterial small subunit ribosomal RNA
Source: RNAcentral
GAAUUGACGGGGGCCCGCACAAGCAGUGGAGCAUGUGGUUUAAUUCGAAGCAACGCGAAGAACCUUACCAGGGCUUGACAUCCCUCUGACCGGUGUAGAGAUACACCUUCCCUUCGGGGCAGGGGAGACAGGUGGUGCAUGGUUGUCGUCAGCUCGUGUCGUGAGAUGUUGGGUUAAGUCCCGCAACGAGCGCAACCCUUGUCGUUAGUUGCCAGCACUUUGGGUGGGCACUCUAACGAGACUGCCGGUGACAAAUCGGAGGAAGGUGGGGAUGACGUCAAAUCAUCAUGCCCCUUAUGUCCUGGGCUACACACGUGCUACAAUGGCGACUACAGAGGGAAGCAAAGCCGCGAGGUGGAGCAAAUCCCCAAAAGUCGUCCCAGUUCGGAUUGCAGGCUGCAACUCGCCUGCAUGAAGUCGGAAUUGCUAGUAAUGGCAGGUCAGCACACCGCCGUGAAUACGUUCCCGGGCCUUGUACACACCG